This 1874-nucleotide ribosomal RNA is filed under the name Parcubacteria group bacterium CG11_big_fil_rev_8_21_14_0_20_39_22. Its description in RNAcentral is "bacterial SSU rRNA". It matches the Rfam family "Bacterial small subunit ribosomal RNA", at positions 317 to 1438 of the family's 1533-position model. The record is from RNAcentral.
AACUGAGACACGGUCCAUACACCUACGGGUGGCCGCAGUCGAGAAUCUUCCGCAAUGGGCGAAAGCCUGACGGAGCGACGCCGCGUGGUUGAUGAAGUCCUUAGGGACGUAAAAACCUUUUAUGAGGGAGGAAGUUUAUUGACGUUACCUCAUGAAUAAGGGGUUGCUAAACUCGUGCCAGCAGCAGCGGUAAUACGAGUGCCCCGAGCGUUAUCCGGAAUCAUUGGGCGUAAAGGGUGUGUAGGCGGCUUUGUUAGUCUCUUGUUAAAUUUCCCGGCUCAACCGGGAUUCUGCAGGGGAAACGGCAAAGCUUGAGGGUGCGAGAGGUGUACGGAACUCAUAGUGUAGGGGUGAAAUCCGUUGAUAUUAUGGGGAACACCAAAAGCGAAGGCAGUACACUGGCGCAUUCCUGACGUUGAGACACGAAAGCGUGGGAAUCGAACGGGAUUAGAUAAACGCUCGCCGAGAGUUUUGAAAAGCACGAUAGAAAUUUUGCCGUCGCAAAAUUUCUUCUCUGCUCGGAAAAUUUUUUGCUAAAAAUUUUCCUCCGCAAGGCUUUUCAAAACUCUCGACUCGCUCCUAUUAAAGGGAGAAGAGAAGGAGCAAAUGUCUCAUCUGUUGGUAACAACAGAAAGCAAAUUUGGCUAUAUGCUGGAAACUCUGGAGUAUUUAAGGGGAAACCCAACAAGUGUGACCGUAAGGUCGCCAGACAAUCAGCAGGGAAGACUAUAGUAGCUUAUAUUUAUCAGCUGUUAGGAUUUAGGAAAUUUCUAAAACCUAACAGCUAAGAUCUAACAGCUAUUUAGAACCCUCAGAGACUAAACGCCAAACUCCAAGCAUUUUGCAGAGCAAAAUGCAGAUUCAAGAAGCAAGAUUUAAGAUUCAAGAAUUAUUCCUGGAUCAUGAAUCCUGAAUCAAGAUUCUGCAUGAGUUCACGAAUGCAUGGAUGAAGAUAUAGUCCGACCUCUAUGGUGACAUAGAGAGACAGGCAGAAAUGUCCUGUCCGGUAUCAACUGAAUUUCGUUUGAAAAUUUAUUUUUUAAACAUUAUUUAAAAAUUAAAAAUUCAAAAAUUAGAAAUUCUUUUGUUAUUUCGUAACAAAAGUGACCCCGGUAGUCCACGCCCUAAACGAUGUUCAUUAGCUUUUCGGAGUAUCGACCCUCUGAGAGGCGUAGCUAACGCGUUAAAUGAACCGCCUGGGUAGUACGGCCGCAAGGCUAAAACUCAAAGGAAUAGACGGGGACUUGCACAAGCGGUGGAUCAUGUGGUUUAAUUCGAUGCUAAACGAAGAACCUUACCAAGCCUAGAAAUCUAUCUGAACUCCAGCAGAAACGUUGGAGGUCCGCAAGGACAGAUAGACAGGUGCUGCAUGGCCGUCGUCAGUUCGUGAUUUGAAUUGUUCCCUUAAGUGGGGUAACGAACGCAACCCUCAUUGCCUGUUAUAAGUGUCAGGCGAGACUACCCACCACCAAACCCGGAGGGUUUGGUGGAAGAAACAAGGUAAAAGAAACAAGAAACAAAAAAAUUAAAUAUAAAACUUUUGUAUCUUGUAUCUUAAAUUUUGUAACUUCCAAACCAGUUCUAUUGGUUUGGUGGUGGGAGGAAGGUGAGGAUGACGCCAGGUCAGCAUGGCCCUUGACGGCUUGGGCUACACACGUGAUACAAUGGCUGCUACAACAUGUUGCGACGGGGUAACCCUGAGCUAAUCAUUAUAAAGGCAGCCCCAGUUCGGAUUGAGGUCUGCAACUCGACCUCAUGAAGUUGGAAUCGCUAGUAAUCGCGGGUCAGAAUACCGCGGUGAAUACGUUCUCAAGUCUUGUACUCACCGCCCGUCAAUUCAGGGAAGUUGGAAGUACCCGAAGUCCCAGCACUAA